GACGAACGCUGGCGGCGUGCUUAACACAUGCAAGUCGAACGGAAAGGCCCUGCUUUUGUGGGGUGCUCGAGUGGCGAACGGGUGAGUAACACGUGAAUAACCUGCCCUUGACUUUGGGAUAACUUCAGGAAACUGGGGCUAAUACCGGAUAGGAGCUCCUGCUGCAUGGUGGGGGUUGGAAAGUUUCGGCGGUUGGGGAUGGACUCGCGGCUUAUCAGCUUGUUGGUGGGGUAGUGGCUUACCAAGGCUUUGACGGGUAGCCGGCCUGAGAGGGUGACCGGCCACAUUGGGACUGAGAUACGGCCCAGACUCCUACGGGAGGCAGCAGUGGGGAAUAUUGCACGAUGGGCGGAAGCCUGAUGCAGCAACGCCGCGUGCGGGAUGACGGCCUUCGGGUUGUAAACCGCUUUCGCCUGUGACGAAGCGUGAGUGACGGUAAUGGGUAAAGAAGCACCGGCUAACUACGUG
RNAcentral lists this ribosomal RNA (468 nucleotides) under uncultured bacterium. RNAcentral describes it as "partial 16S ribosomal RNA". It matches the Rfam family "Bacterial small subunit ribosomal RNA", at positions 28 to 507 of the family's 1533-position model. The record is from RNAcentral.